This 490-nucleotide ribosomal RNA is filed under the name uncultured bacterium. Its description in RNAcentral is "partial 16S ribosomal RNA". It matches the Rfam family "Bacterial small subunit ribosomal RNA", at positions 28 to 507 of the family's 1533-position model. The record is from RNAcentral.
GAUGAACGCUGGCUACAGGCUUAACACAUGCAAGUCGAGGGGAAACGACGGGGAAGCUUGCUUCCCCGGGCGUCGACCGGCGCACGGGUGAGUAACGCGUAUCCAACCUGCCUCUGACUGAGGGAUAACCCGUCGAAAGUCGGCCUAAUACCUCAUGGUAUCGUCUGCGGGCAUCCAACGACGAUUAAAGAUUUCAUCGGUCAGGGAUGGGGAUGCGUCUGAUUAGCUUGUUGGCGGGGUAACGGCCCACCAAGGCUACGAUCAGUAGGGGUUCUGAGAGGAAGGUCCCCACAUUGGAACUGAGACACGGUCCAAACUCCUACGGGAGGCAGCAGUGAGGAAUAUUGGUCAAUGGGCGAGAGCCUGAACCAGCCAAGUAGCGUGCAGGAAGACGGCCCUAUGGGUUGUAAACUGCUUUUAUGCGGGGAUAAAGUGAGGGACGUGUCCCUCAUUGCAGGUACCGCAUGAAUAAGGACCGGCUAAUUCCGUG